AUUGAACGCUAGCGGCAUGCCUAACACAUGCAAGUCGAACGGCAGCGCAGGGAGCUUUGCUCCCAGCCGGCGAGUGGCGGACGGGUGAGUAAUACGUAGGAAUUCUCCCUAUAUAGUUAGUGGGGGGAUAACCCGGGGAAACCUCGGGCUAAUACCGCAUAAUCUCCUCAUGCAAAGCGGGGGUUUCUCGGCCCCCCCGCUAUAAGAUGAGCCUAUGUCGGAUUAGCUUGUUGGUGAGGGUAAUGCCUACCAAGGCGACGAUCCGUAGCUGGUCUGAGAGGACGAUCAGCCACACUGGGACUGAGACACGGCCCAGACUCCUACGGGAGGCAGCAGUGGGGAAUCUUGGACAAUGGGGGGAACCCUGAUCCAGCAAUGCCGCGUGUGUGAAGAAGGCCUUAGGGUUGUAAAGCACUUUCAAUAGGGAAGAAGUCUCUAGGGAUACACCCCUGAGGAUUGACGUUACCUAUAGAAGAAGCACUGGCUAACUCUGUGCCAGCAGCCGCGGUAAUACAGAGAGUGCGAGCGUUAAUCGGAAUCACUGGGCGUAAAGCGCGCGUAGGUUGAUAUUUAAGUCGGAUGUGAAAGCCCUGGGCUUAACUUAGGAAUUGCAUCCGAUACUGGAUAUCUCGAGUAUGGUAGAGGGAAGUGGAAUUUCCGGUGUAGCGGUGAAAUGCAUAGAUAUCGGAAAGAACACCAGUGGCGAAGGCGGCUUCCUGGACUAAUACUGACACUGAGGUGCGAAAGCGUGGGGAGCAAACAGGAUUAGAGACCCUGGUAGUCCACGCCGUCAACGAUGAGAACUAGCUGUUGGAAAGUUUUCUUUUUAGUAGCGAAGCUAACGCGUUAAGUUCUCCGCCUGGGGAGUACGGCCGCAAGGCUAAAACUCAAAGAAAUUGACGGGGGCCCGCACAAGCGGUGGAGCAUGUGGUUUAAUUCGAUGCAACGCGAAAAACCUUACCUACCCUUGACAUCCUCAGAACUUGUCAAAAAUGGCUUGGUGCCUUUGGGAACUGAGUGACAGGUGCUGCAUGGCUGUCGUCAGCUCGUGUCGUGAGAUGUUGGGUUAAGUCCCGUAACGAGCGCAACCCUCGUCCUUAGUUGCCAGCGAUUCGGCCGGGAACUCUAAGGAGACUGCCGGUGAUAAACCGGAGGAAGGCGGGGAUGAUGUCAAGUCAUCAUGGCCCUUACGGGUAGGGCUACACACGUGCUACAAUGGGCGGUACAAAGGGUGGCCAAGCCGCGAGGUGGAGCCAAUCCCAAAAAACUGCUCUUAGUCCGGAUUGAAGUCUGCAACUCGACUCCAUGAAGUUGGAAUCGCUAGUAAUCGCGAAUCAGAAUGUCGCGGUGAAUACGUUCUCGGGCCUUGUACACACCGCCCGUCACACCAUGGGAGUG
This 1398-nucleotide ribosomal RNA is filed under the name Coxiella-like endosymbiont. RNAcentral's name for it is "bacterial SSU rRNA". It matches the Rfam family "Bacterial small subunit ribosomal RNA". The record is from RNAcentral. Lineage: Bacteria; Pseudomonadati; Pseudomonadota; Gammaproteobacteria; Legionellales; Coxiellaceae.